This 313-nucleotide ribosomal RNA is filed under the name Escherichia coli. RNAcentral's name for it is "bacterial LSU rRNA". It matches the Rfam family "Bacterial large subunit ribosomal RNA", at positions 1085 to 1396 of the family's 2925-position model. The record is from RNAcentral. Lineage: Bacteria; Pseudomonadati; Pseudomonadota; Gammaproteobacteria; Enterobacterales; Enterobacteriaceae.
CCAGACAGCCAGGAUGUUGGCUUAGAAGCAGCCAUCAUUUAAAGAAAGCGUAAUAGCUCACUGGUCGAGUCGGCCUGCGCGGAAGAUGUAACGGGGCUAAACCAUGCACCGAAGCUGCGGCAGCGACGCUUAUGCGUUGUUGGGUAGGGGAGCGUUCUGUAAGCCUGUGAAGGUGUACUGUGAGGUAUGCUGGAGGUAUCAGAAGUGCGAAUGCUGACAUAAGUAACGAUAAAGCGGGUGAAAAGCCCGCUCGCCGGAAGACCAAGGGUUCCUGUCCAACGUUAAUCGGGGCAGGGUGAGUCGACCCCUAAGG